CCUGGGGCUGCCCUGCCCCGCUGCCCACCUGCCUUGCGGGGCCCUGAGCCUGACCCCCGGGCCACAGCAGCUGCCCACGGCAGCGCUGUGGGUUCUCCCAGAACAUCCCCCCAGCGCUGUCCCGCCGGACCGUAAGCCUCACUACACAGAUGGAAAGCAAUGGAAAAAUUACGAAGUUACUAGGGCUUUCCAGAGAGUUUGACGCCUGCAGAGAUCUUCCUGCAGGGCUUUUCCGCAGAGCUGUCAGUUUCCUGCAGUCUAAGCUUUGCCCUGUGCGCUCGAGGAUACCCUCUCAUCACGGACAGAAAUGCCCUGUGGAAUAUGCAGCCUUCAGUGAAGUUCUGCAGAAGAGAUCCUUCCACAAGAAAAAGUCAGAGACCAAACACCACUUAAAUAGGAUACACACAGAAGUGUGGUGAGAUCCAGAGCAUGCCCAUGAAAUCAUCUGUUUAUUUAUGAUAAGAAACUCACUUCCUCUUGGAUAACCUCAGGAUUUCUUUUGUUAAACCCUUGGCAGCUUAAAAGUCAUCUUGCUUUCCAGCGUCUGAGCCUUCUUCCUUUCUCUUCCUUCUCUCUUCCCCAUACAAGGGCCCCCUCUCUUCACUCAGCUCCCACUCUCCCUCUCAAAUGACAUUCUUUCUGUACUUGUCUGCACAAACAGCACAAGGCCCAGGCUGUGCUUCUGUAAGCCAGGAAUAAUGCCUUAGUCUUUUGCAGUGAUUGAUGCACUAUCCAUGGAGAAUACUGUGCCAUGGUCAGAGAGGUUCACAAAGCCAUGCACCGUUAGGAUACCUGCUGGUCUGCUUUUUACUUUCACUGUAACUUAAAUAGAAAAAUGUGGUAAAUGUUCCAUAAGUAUAUGGUCUUCGUGGUUCUUGUUGUUGUUGUUGUUGUAAAGUUGUAGCUCACGAUUUCAAGUCAGAUUCCAGGGAGCUCCAAGCAGCUCACAUUUCCUCUCCUAAACCUUUGGCCUGACAUUACACAAGUACCUUCCAUGCGUAUGCAAAGACUAGAAUACAGCUAGAAUACUAGAGUACAGAAUACAGGAUGUUCAUACUUGCCCAGCUUGGGUGAGUAGUGACAUUGUGUUUUACCUUAUGCCUGAGCCUGCACCUGAGGCAUGCAGGCAUCUAUUACAGGACAAUUUCUAAAAGUUAAGAGAUUUACAGGACAAGUUCUAAAAGUUAAGAGAUUUCAAUUCCAUUGUGAUCUUGAGUAGCUGAGUUCUUUAAUAUUACCAGGGAAGUUCCCAUUUCCAUCAAGUCAACAGCAGAAUUCUCAUUAACUUCAGCAUUAAAUGGGAAUAUUCACUGAGCAUCUGUCAGGGGGAAAAAGAUAUGACACAAAUUUGAGAGUUUUAAAUACCUGUACUGAAAACCUUGAUCCAAACAUACUGAGAUGCUGGAAGUUCAGGAAAAG
Molecule: long non-coding RNA, 1419 nt
Filed under: Cyanistes caeruleus (blue tit)
Lineage: Eukaryota; Metazoa; Chordata; Aves; Passeriformes; Paridae
Description: lncRNA (ENSCCEG00000015388.1)
Source: RNAcentral